GACGAACGCUGGCGGCGUGCCUAAUACAUGCAAGUAGAACGCUGAAGGAGUAGCUUGCUUCUCUUGAUGAGUUGCGAACGGGUGAGUAACGCGUAGGUAACCUGCCUUGUAGCGUGGGAUAACUAUUGGAAACGAUAGCUAAUACCGCAUAACAGUAGAUCUCGCAUGAUAUCUACUUGAAAUUCGCAAUUUCCUCACUACCAGAUGGACCUGCCGUGUAUUAGCUAGGUGGUGGGGUAACGGCUCACCAAGGCGACGAUACAUAGCCGACCUGAGAGGGUGAUCGGCCAAACUGGGACUGAGACACGGCCCAGACUCCUACGGGAGGCAGCAGUAGGGAAUCAUUGGCAAAGGACGGAAGUCUGACCGAGCAAAGACGGGGGAGGGAAGAAGGUUUUCGGAUCGGAAAGCUCUGUUGGAAGAGAAGAACGAGUGUGAGAGUGGAAAGUUCACACUGUGACGGUAUCUUACCAGAAAGGGACGGCUAACUACGUG
RNAcentral lists this ribosomal RNA (495 nucleotides) under uncultured bacterium. RNAcentral's name for it is "partial 16S ribosomal RNA". It matches the Rfam family "Bacterial small subunit ribosomal RNA", at positions 28 to 507 of the family's 1533-position model. The record is from RNAcentral.